UACGUAGGGGGCAAGCGUUGUCCGGAAUCAUUGGGCGUAAAGAGCGUGUAGGCGGCCCGAUAAGUCCGCUGUGAAAGUCCAGGGCUCAACCCUGGGAUGCCGGUGGAUACUGUCGGGCUCGAGUCCGGAAGAGGAGUGUGGAAUUCCUGGUGUAGCGGUGAAAUGCGCAGAUAUCAGGAGGAACACCAAUGGCGAAGGCAGCACUCUGGGACGGUACUGACGCUGAGACGCGAAAGCGUGGGGAGCAAACAGG
Molecule: ribosomal RNA, 253 nt
Filed under: uncultured bacterium
Lineage: Bacteria
Description: partial 16S ribosomal RNA
Rfam family: Bacterial small subunit ribosomal RNA
Source: RNAcentral